This is a long non-coding RNA of Hydra vulgaris (swiftwater hydra), 314 nucleotides long. RefSeq lists it as uncharacterized. NCBI's taxonomy places the organism in Eukaryota, Metazoa, Cnidaria, Hydrozoa, Anthoathecata, Hydridae. The record is from RefSeq and is a predicted model, not a curated record.
AGUUUUUAAAUUUAUCUUAUUUUUUACAAGUUUAGUUUUUGUUGAGUUUUUGUUGGCUGUGUUUGUUUGCUGUUUUUGUUUGCUGUUUUUGUUAUUAUUAUUUGGUCUUACAAGCAAGGUCUGUUAGCGAAAAGAAGUUAGAACUGAAAUGACUGAGCAAUUCAAAGGAGCUGAAGGCCUUUUUAAAAAAAUAACAAGGAAAAGCCAAAGUAAUAAACAAUCUUCUGGAAGUUGUCAAAAGAAUAAUGAAAUUUUUAAUUUUGUUCUUAAAUGGUUUCAUCUUUUUCAUUACUUUAGAUAGAUAUAUACUGACU